Molecule: long non-coding RNA, 1324 nt
Filed under: Homo sapiens (human)
Lineage: Eukaryota; Metazoa; Chordata; Mammalia; Primates; Hominidae
Description: HSALNT0043677
Source: RNAcentral
UGAGGUUGCUUAGGAAACCACCCCACAAUGGCAGGAGACACCAUGAGAUGUUUUCUACUGUAGAAACUUUCUCAUUAGAAAUAGCCCAUUUAUACAGGGGACUGGCUAAUGUUUUUCUAUGAGUAUCAUUAGCCAGUGUCUCAAAGUGGUGAAGAGUAAGUAUAUAGCAUCUUUCAAAACACAACCUGUGGAAGGCUAGGCAGGGAGUCAGGAAAGGCUGGAGUCACCAUGGUCACUUAUUGGUAUCUCCUCCAGUCCCAGAAGGAGGAGUUGAGGCCGACAUUGGACAAACAAAGCCUUAAUUUAAAAGCAGGUAACCUCAUGAUUUAGAGGCAUUAGCUUCUUUUCCUACAAGCUUAGUGUGGGGUCAAGGUUACCUCUGGUCCAGAAUAUCUGGCAUAUGACAUAUUUGCAGGUAAGCUGUUUAGUAUUAAAAUGGCUUUGACAGCAUAUUUACUGUUAGGUUAAAGGACUAUAGACCAGUUGUUAAUAUGAGAAAUAUAGCCAGGAGAUGACUCUAACACAACGCUAACAGGAAGAAAGCCUGAGUCAGGCACUUUGCAUCCCCCAUGCCUUUCAAACCUGAUGGACUGCAACCUGGAACAAGGAGAGACAAAGGGAAGGAGGAGUCUGGAGCCAUAUUGAAGAUGAAAUUGAGAUAUGGACUAGGUGGUGGAUCGUUUUUAUAAGAGGACAUAAAAGAGGAUGCUAAAGCUAAUUGCCACAAUCAGAACUCAAAGACCUAGCAAAUGCAAGGUGGUAUUUAUUCUAAACUCAGCAAAGUAGUAGAAAAAUAGUUUUGAGAACAGUUUUAAGGAGACUAGGGUAACAGUGAGAAAAUAGUUCAUGGCUAGUCUGGACUUAGGACUUUAGGGUCGGCCUGGUGAAUUGAAGGGAAGCAGCUGAUACACUCUGGUUGCCUUGUACCCUGGCUUUUGGUGCUUUCCCAUGUGCUGUAGUCAUCAGUAAUCUGACACUGGCCACCUCCCUGAACCUGGGCCAAGAUGAGGGUCUACACCUUGGCUUAGUUCUACUAUGAAAGACUUUCCUGCAGUAAAAGUUACCUGUCUGAAACAUUCAGAAGAGUGAAAAUGCCACAUCUCCAAUUUCCAGCAAUAUAUUUGUCUGCCAUGAUUUGGCCUGGAAGCUUAAGCAGGAAGACCACUUGGAGCCAGACUUCAGAGUGAUCUGUCUCUAAGGAAUAACUUUGCUAAAGGCAGACAGAGGCAAACCAAGAAAUCCAGACUUUGCAUCAGGAUACAAUAAGAAGUCAGCAGUCUGCAACCCAGAAGAGGACCCUCACUGGAACCCAGGAAUGUUGGCA